CCUACGGGAGGCAGCAGUGGGGGAUAUUGCACAAUGGGGGAAACCCUGAUGCAGCGACGCCGCGUGAGUGAAGAAGUAUUUCGGUAUGUAAAGCUCUAUCAGCAGGGAAGAAAAUGACAGUACCUGACCAAGAAGCCCCGGCUAACUACGUGCCAGCAGCCGCGGUAAUACGUAGGGGGCAAGCGUUAUCCGGAUUUACUGGGUGUAAAGGGAGCGUAGACGGUUAUGUAAGUCUGGAGUGAAAGCCCGGGGCCCAACCCCGGGACUGCUUUGGAAACUGUGUAACUGGAGUACAGGAGGGGCAGGCGGAAUUCCUGGUGUAGCGGUGAAAUCCGUAGAUAUCUGGAGGAACAUCAGUGGCGAAGGCGACUAUCUGGCACAUAACUGACGCUGAGGAGCGAAAGCGUGGGUAGCAAACAGGAUUAGAUACCCUGGUAGUC
RNAcentral lists this ribosomal RNA (440 nucleotides) under uncultured bacterium. Its description in RNAcentral is "partial 16S ribosomal RNA". It matches the Rfam family "Bacterial small subunit ribosomal RNA", at positions 338 to 795 of the family's 1533-position model. The record is from RNAcentral.